Molecule: transfer RNA, 72 nt
Filed under: Diporiphora nobbi (nobbi lashtail)
Lineage: Eukaryota; Metazoa; Chordata; Lepidosauria; Squamata; Agamidae
Description: tRNA-Asp
Source: RNAcentral
GGGCCGGAGGGCCUCGAUCCCACAUUACAUUAGUUAACAGCUAACACGCCUACCAUAAGCAUCAACCCCAAG